RNAcentral lists this long non-coding RNA (1360 nucleotides) under Gadus morhua (Atlantic cod). RNAcentral's name for it is "lncRNA (ENSGMOG00000029961.1)". The record is from RNAcentral. Lineage: Eukaryota; Metazoa; Chordata; Actinopteri; Gadiformes; Gadidae.
UCACGAGAGCUGGUAGGUUGUGAAAAAUGAAUUAAACUGUAAUCAGACAACGCGGUUAUAUGCUAUAGACCAGGGCUAUUCAACCUGCUUAACAAGUGGGCCAAAAAGGAAAACUACUGGUGGUUCAUGGGCCGCACAUACAAAACUUAUAAUGUCAAUAAAUCGAAUUAAGUAAAUCGUACUUAAAGUAGUGUUAACUUAAUAUAUAUAGAACUGCUAAAUGGAAUAAAGCAGACGCAUUCCUUUCUUUUUCACUUCUAAUUGCAUCAUGAUAACAAUUUUUGACCUUACAUAUUUUGGACACGCAACCUCUUGCGGGCCAGAAAAUAAAUAAGAAGGGCCGUAUUCGGCCCGCGGGCCGCUAGUUGAAUAGGCCUGCUAUAGACCCUAGAGCAGGGGUCUGAAACUCGCGUCCCGGGGGCCAAUUUAGGCCCGCGGGAGGAUAUUUUGUGGCCCCCUACAUCAAAGUGUUAGUGCGGCCCGCGCGUUGUUGUCAAACACACAGAGUGGCUUGCCACUGUUUUUUAUGACUUGUGAUAGAGUGACCAGAUGUCCUGGUUUUGCCGGGACAGUCCAAAUUUUGAGUUGCGUGUCCUGAGUCCCGACAAAAACCAAAGGACGCUAAAAUGUCCCGGUUUCCACCAACCGCCAUGAAAUGUCCCCUAUUGUCAGCGAUUACAUAGCCAACGUGAUCUAAUUAUAGCCCGAUCAUUAACUUAGAUUGGGUAAGUUGUGCUCCUUUUUUGUGUGGAAUACUUGAUGACCCAGACCCUACCUCCAGUGGCCCCCAGGUAAGUUGAGUUUGAGACCCCUGCCCUAGAGUAUCUGUGGUAAAGAGGCUGGUUACAUCUCACCCAGAUGUUACGCCUCAUCUGAACAGUUGGGUAUUGGAAACAUAUUUCCGGACCCAGAGUGAACUGGAAACGCCAGCCAAAGCCCGCCGGGAGAAACAGACGUCUGAGCAUAGAGUGAGGGUUUUGUAUAAUUUAGUUAAUUAAUUAAGGGCGCCACCAGAGGGCGCCCCCGACACGUUUGCCGCCCUAGGCGAUAUAUUUAUUUUUCUUCCUCCAUGGGCCCCUGACGCCGUCUUGGCCCAGUUGCAGUGCACCGGUUACAACGUCGAUAUUUACGCCACUAGCAUAGUACAGUAUCGGCUUCCUGUGAUGUCCAGGCCAUCAGAGCUAAUUACCCAGCACAAGAUGGGCAGUACCGUGGCUACCAGGAGACAGUAGAUGCUCAAGAUGAGCUGUGACUAUUUUGACUCUAGCAAACGCACCCUAAACGUUUUAUUUUUGUAAAUAGUUCAUGUUGGUUGUUGUGAUUUGUUUACUAACCCAAGUGCUGUUAUACUAAAGUAGGC